GGGCCAAGUCUAAGUCGGACGUCAGUGUGCACCGUGAGGUAACGAGCGCGGACUAAGACGACAUGGCGGAGGAUAAAUACUUACCCGAACUGAUGGCGGAGAGGGACAGCCUAGAUCCCUCUUUCGUGCACGGUUCUCGGCUGUUGUCGGCAGAAAUUGAAAAGAUUCAAAAAGGAGAGAAAAAGGAAGACGAGAAAAGAUUUCUUGAUAUUCUGACACAGAAGAACAUCAAGCUUUCUGAGCGAUGCCUGAUACCAGUUGCACAGUUUCCAAAAUUCAACUUUGUAGGGAAACUGCUUGGACCAAGAGGAAAUUCUUUGAAGCGUUUACAAGAGGACACUGGCACUAAAAUGUCCAUCCUUGGGAAAGGUUCAAUGAGAGAUAAGGCCAAGGAAGACGAGCUCCGUAAAGGAGGUGAAGCUAAGUAUGCACACUUGAACAGUGAUCUCCAUGUUCUUGUUGAAGUCUUUGCACCUCCAACUGAAGCCUAUUCCCGAAUGUACCAUGCAAUGGAGGAGCUGAAAAAAUUCCUCAUACCUGACUACAAUGAUGAAAUAAGGCAAGAGCAGCUAACUGAGCUGGCGUACUUGAAUGGUGGACAGGAUACAUCCCGUGGGAGAGGUGUACGUGCCAGAGGCGCUCCACCUGUACCGCUUGCAAGUCUGCUUCUUCCUAGGGGCCGUGGUGUCGCUCCACCUCCACCCUCCCCACAGUAUGGGCCGCGAGGUGCAAUGACACGUGGAGUAGCAGUGAGAGGAGCACCAGGAGGCCGCAGGGAAGUGACAAGUGGGCGUGGUGCCACACCAGCACAGAGGGGUGCUCCAGCGCUUCGUACUCGAGGGACACCUGCAGUGUAUAGACAGCCACUGCACCCGCCACCUGCUCAAGAGAGUUAUGAUGAAUAUGGCUAUGAUGAUGGCUAUUCGGAGCAAAAUUAUGAUAAUUACGAAAACUAUUAUGAUCAAGCCCAGAGUGAUGCUGAAUAUUUUGACUAUGGACAUGGUGAAGUACAGGAUGCAUAUGAUGAUUAUGGUCAGGAGGAAUGGAAUGCAGGACGAACAAGCAGGAAGGCACCAGCAAGGCCACUGAAGGGAAUGUACAGAGAACAUCCUUACGGGCGAUACUAAGGCCAGCCUCCAACCAACCUUGUGUGCGUCCUUAUAAAUUGCUUCAAUCUUCUGUGGUCACCAUCUUGUUAUCAGCUGUGAGACAAGCACGGGGUAGAAAGCCCUGCUGAAUUCUGCAUCCAUGGAAACUUGAGAAGGCUUGUUGGGUUUGCAAACAGAGCCAGAGGAAUUCCCUGAGCUGGAUCUGGCACUAUCCAUCGCCUGCCUGGAUUUAGAGCUGUCUCAACUGAUACAUUACGUGAAGUGAGCUCCUGAACUCUGUAUUGUACAGCCUCAAAGUGGCGUUACUUCAGAUUUAUCCCUUGUUUUUAAUCACUGACAUCCUCUUGUCAAAUACAGUUUUAUAGGUGGAAAGAGACAGGGACACCUUUAAAGCUGAUGCAGAGAUAGAGCCAUCAGUGCAUGAGAUUGGUAACAGCAUUUAGCCCAAUGCCAUUGACCUUUCAGAACAAAGUUAUAUCUCAGUCAGAAACAAGGCCAGAACAAAACUUUUGAAAAAUUAAUCAUGUCUGAAGAAAAUGGUGGAUCUUUAGAAACAUUGAAACCUAGAAAAUAGGUGCAGGAGUAGGCCAUUCGGCCCUUCAAGCCUGCACCGCCAUUCAGUAUGAUCAUGGCUGAUCAUCCAACUCAAAAACCUGUACCUACUUUCUCUCCAUACCCCCGAUCCCUUUAGCCACAAGGGCCAUAUCUAACUUCCUCUUAAAUAUAGCCAAUGAACCUGCCUCAACUGUUACCUGUGGCAGAGAAUUCCACAGAUUCACCACCAUUUAGUGAUCCAGUGGUUAAGAUAGUGUGUAGAUGUUGCACAGGACUUCAGGAGGAACGUGACACUGGAGGAUAUAACUGUACUGUUCAUAACCCAAGCUGUUCACAAUUCAGAAAUGCAGCUGGGUAAAGAGUUCCCACGUGGCAGAAGAUUCCUGCAGCUCCACAACAGCCAGUUAAUCCAUCCCACUAGCCUCCCAAACACUUGCUUGUACACAGGCAAUACAUAAAAUGGGUGUUCAGUAGGACCUCUGUAAAAUUAUGCACUGGAGAGGGGUGAUGGAACGUGGAUAGAUACUGCAAUUUGCAUCUACUCUUUAGCUGGCUGGUGGGUGGGUGGAAUCUGAAGUUACAAAUUUGAAGAAAAUGUUGGAAAAAUGUGGCAGUUCGUGCAGGAUCUGUGGAGAUAGAAAUUGUUAGACUUUCCGUUCAUUAUGUUAACUGUUUCUUUUAUCAGAAUUGCUGCCUGCCUUGAGUUUUCCCAGCAUUUUCUGCAGUUAUCAGAUUUGCAGCAUCUGCAGAUUUAGAUUUUUCGUCUUUGGAGUAGGAUUGAAAAAGUGAUAAAGUGUAUUUGCAACUCCAACAUCAGACAUGGAAAUCGUCCUAUAAAGUUAGGGCUGGUGUAGAGAAAUUGCAGUGCUUUGGAGAGCGUAUAAAUACAAUAACUUUGCCAUGGUUGGGUGAAUCCAAUUAUGGUAGAAUAUUGAAAUUAGAGAUGAUGGAGGAAAUGGGGCAUUAUGGAGAGACAGUAGAAUUAGAUGGACCAAGCCCAGCAAAAAAAAAAUCCUGUUUUCUCUUGUAUAUAGCCAUUAACUUGAAGUUUUGAAUUUACAAAGUUGGCCAAGUACCAGCAGCAAAUAAGGGACCUACUUGCAUAGAGAGUUCUGUGAUCUGGGGUGCACUAAUGUACAAUAAGGCAGAAUCAUAUUCAAUAGAAAUGUCUGAACACAAGUUAGAUGUGCUUUUCUCCCUUCAGCAUCUUCUAGGCAAAACUUCAUAUAAUGGGAUAUUGCUUUCAAUUCUUUUAUGUAGAAAAAUUGCUUUGUACCUGACAGUAAGAUUGUUAUUAACCUAAUGUAAAAACAAAAUGGCACCAAAAUGUUGGUUUAAAUGCGUAAGAUACUAUAUCUUGGAAAGCAAAGGGUCUACAUUUUAAGUGUAUGAGUCAGAUAAGGAAGGUGGCUGUAUUGCUGUUGGUCAGCUGAUGUAGGUGUGAUAGAUCAGCCUGCAUCUGUUUUAUAAAUGCUAGCUUUUCAGGUUGGAGAGGUUUUGUCUCUGAUCUGAAACAUUAACUUUGUUUCUCUUUCUACAGAUGUCACCUGGCCUACUAUUUUCCCACCAGUGUUUUCCAUUUAUAAUAGGUUUCCAGAAUCUAUAUUUCUUCAAUUUUUGUUGAUGUACUAAGCACUGAACUGGUGCAGAGAUUAAUGGUUUAAAUUGUCCAUUACCACUUAAAUGAAAUGUCUUCAGUUGUAGGUUCCUCAGCAUGUGAGGUGAGAAGCUCCACAACACCCAUUAUAAUGCCUGCCUCACCACCAGGACAACAGUGUCAUUCUUGAUGCUGCCUACGUCAGGAGAAGCCUCUGAUAUUAUUCUCUGCUUCAGGACAUAUCUUCUGCCAAAAACCAUUAAUUUGUCAUUUGCUUCAUUCCAUUCCUUAGUGUCUGGCUCUGAUGGGUGUUUGAUUUCUAUGUAGCAAUGAGACCUGGUGAAUCAGCUUUCUCCCAAAAGCAAAUCUACUCCAGGUAAAGGAGAUAGCCAGGGAGGAAUAAUGGAUAAAGCCACACUGGGAUGAUAGGUCAUAUUAGACAGAUCCACGUUCUCUGCCCGAUCAUUUCCUUCCCAUCCAGAAGUUGCAAAUCUUGCAAUCUUGAUGUUCCCAACAAUCUUGCAGUACAUUCUUAAUUGGAUGAUCAUUCUCAUGACCACUGAGUGGCACCCAGUAAUUCCUAGCCAUCUGCAAUCUUCACAAAUGCAGGUGGCAUCUGACCCAUUUCUGUCUGCAGAGCAGAAACUGAAGCCCCAACUGCACCACAACACAGACAUAAAACCUGGGCUUGAAUAACAUCCAGUGAUUUGAGAAGUCGGGGCAGUAGACCCAUAUGAAACACAGCCAUAAUCUGUCUGCUCUAAUCACUGCAUAUUACAAAGUAAUCUUUAAUACCCUGUUAGCCCCCCAACCGUAUUCCACCAAACACUGAAGGACAGCCUUACAUCUGCCAAGUAUUUUAUUGACAUGAUGUGGCCAUGCACGUUUCACAACCAUUCACAUACCAAGAAACCUAAUCACUGACACCUGUUCCAAUAUCUGUCCUUACAGUCGAAGGUCAACAGUUGGCCUGUUGAUCCAUUUACUAAAGCAAAUAACCUGAGCUUUUGUUACUGAAAAUGUAAACCUCCCUGCUCGCCCCAUUACUCUCUGUGCAGCAGCCUGAAGCUUAUUAAUUACAUAUUUUAGAUUCCUGCCUCUUUUUCAAACAGCUCUAUCAUCAGCAUACAAGGACUUAGAAAUGUCAGGAUCAACUUCAGAAAAAAUAUAACUUAGUGUAAUUGAUCAGGACAGGGCUACAAACAUGUCGUUCUGGAGUACCAUUAUCUAGAAUAAACCUUAGAAUGCUCCUUACCCAUCCUGGCCAGUAUGGUCCUCCGAAACAAAAAAAUCUUUAAACUUAUUAUAUAUUUGUCCACCAAUCCCAAGACUUCACAGUGUUAAGUGAUGGGCAACAAUGAAUAUAGAAUUGAGUCAGGUUUUAUAAACAAACAUGACAUUUAUUAAACUCUGUUCAACAAAAGUGAAAUGACUAACCUAACCGGAAGUUAACUACUAUAUGGCAAUUUAACAAACAGCCAAACUCUGGAAUAGUUCUUAUAGUGGUAAAUUCGAAAGUCCAAGUGAUUUAUAUAGUCAGUAAGGAGAGACUUCCCUGAAAACUGAUUUCUUCGAAGACGUGACGUUACUGUUGAUCCCAGCCAAAAGAUGCCUUGUCCAAAAGAUUCACAACAAAGGAAAUAAGACAAUAGUUGCAGAAGUAGACCAUUCGGCCCUUUGAGCCUGCACCGCCAUUCUGAGAUCAUGGCUGAUCAUCUACUAUCGAUACCCGGUUCCUGCCUUGUCCCCAUAUCCUUUGAUUCCCCUAUCCAUAAGAUAACUAUCUAGCUCCUUCUUGAAAGCAUCCAGAGAAUUGGCCUCUUCCGAGGCAGUGCAUUCCAGACCCCCACAACUCUCUGGGAGAAGAAGUUUUUCCUUAACUCUGUCCUAAAUGACCUACCCCUUAUUCUCAAACCAUGCCCUCUGGUACUGGACUCUCCCAGCAUCUGGAACAUAUUUCCUGCUUCUAUCUUGUCCAAUCCCUUAAUAAUCUUAUAUGUUGCAAUCAGAUCCCCUCUCAAUCUUCUUAAUUCCAAUGUGUACAAGCCCAGUCUCUCUAACCUCUCUGCGUAAGACAGUCCGGACAUCCCAGGAAUUAACCUCGUGAAUCUACGCUGCACUUCCUCUAUAGCCAGGAUGUCCUUACUUAACCCUGGAGACGAAAACUGUACACAAUACUCCAGGUGUGGUCUCACCAGGGCCCUGUACAAAUGCAAAAGGAUUCCCUUUGUAAUAAAGGCCAACAUUCCAUUAGCCUUCUUCAAUGCCUGCUGCGCCUUCAGUGACUGAUGAACAAGGACUCCUAGAUCUCUUUGUAUUUCUCCCUUACCUAACUCUACACCAUUCAGAUAAUAAUCUGCCUUCCUGUUCUUACUCCCAAAGUGGAUAACCUCACACUUAUUCACAUUAAACGUCAUCUGCCAAGUAUCUGCCCACUCACUCAACCUAUCCAAGUCACCCUGAAUUCUCCUAACAUCCUCAUCAUGUCACACUGCCACUCAGCUUAGUAUCAUGAGCAAACUUGCUGAUGUUAUUCUCAAUGCCUUCAUCUGAAUCGUUGAUGUAAAUCGUAAACAGCUCCCAAUACCAAGCCUUGCGGCACCCCACUAGUCACCACCUGCCAUUCCGAGAAACACCCAUUCACCGUUACCCUUUGCUUUCUAUCUGCCAACCAGUUUUCUUUCCAUGUCAAUAUCUUCCCCCCAAUGCCAUGAGCUCUGAUUUUACCCACCAAUCUCCUAUGUGGGACCUUAUCAAAUGCCUUCUGAGGUACACUACAUCCACUGGAUCUCCCCCGUCUAACUUCCUGGUUACAUCCUCGAAAAACUCCAAUAGAUUAGUCAAGCAUGAUUUGCCCUUGGUAAAUCCAUGCUGGCUCUGCCCAAUCCUAUCACUGCUAUCUAGAUAUGCCACUAUUUCAUCUUUAAUAAAACAGCUUAAAGGAACUGACCUUUUUGCUGGAAGGUGAACACUUCCUGAUCUUGCAGGGGUUAUCUCAGAUUCCUGAACGGAGGUUCAAUAAGGUCUAUCCUUUAUAAAAUCACCGAAUGAUAACAACUUUACUCAAUCCUUCUGGUUCCUGUACUUUGGUAAGGUCUUCACUCUCCAAUACUAGACUGUAAAGGUAAAAGAAAGGUGCAACAAACAAAAACAGGCAGCGAUUGGCGAAACUGCCAGCAACAACCUUGGCAUCUUAAAAUAGAAAGUAAAACCCCACUUUACAAUGAGAUGUCAUGAGAUGAAUACUCAGCAAAACUAACUAACGAACAAACCGCAUGACAACAGGUGUUUUCCCUUACAUACCUGUUGGAACAUGCCAUCACGUGACCUCUCACCUGCAGGAAAAUUACAUCACGUGACCUCACACUGGCAGGAAAAUUACCUCACCCCACCAUCACAAGACCAUUACAUCAUGUUCACAAGACACCCACAGGGUAUGUAACAACAGUAAUCAACAGUCUCUCCUUCCACAGCAUAUCAUAAUCCACUCCAAUAUCAACCUGUUCCUUUCUUAUAUCAGAUUCCAGACAGAGUCCAGAGACGGCCUAAAUCUGAACAGUCAUCUUUUGUGCUAAUGGGGAGGUGCAUUACUGCCACCUACUGUAAUGGAGAAUGAAGGCAUGACAAGGAUCAAAUCCUGUUUGCAUCCCAAUUCUGUUUUAAUUAAAAUGUUCACCAGGGCCCUACAUGACUUAACUCAGGUUCCAGAAUAUCCUGCAAACUAGGCGCCCCAGAUCUACCGAAUAAUUUACUUGACCUUAUUGUCAUCAAACAAUUUAUACUAGAGCGUACAAUCAUCACAGCGAUAUUUGAUUCUGUGCUUCGCGCUCCCUGAAGUACAAAUCGAAGUAAGUAUAAUAAAAAUUUAAAUAAUAAAUCAUAAUUAGAAAAGGGAAAGUAAGGUAGUGCAAGUCAGGUCCGGAUAUUUGGAAGGUACGGCCCAGAUCCAGGUCAGGAUCCGUUCAGCAGUCUUAUCACAGUUGGAAAGAAGUUGUUCCCAAAUCUGGCCAUACGAAUUUUCAAGCUCCUGAACCUUCUCCUGGAGGGAAGAGGGACAAAAAAAUGUGUUGGCUGGGUGGGUCAUGUCCUUGAUUAUCCUGGCAGCACUGCUCCGACAGCGUGCGGUGUAAAGUGAGUCCAAGGAUGGAAGAUUGGUUUUGAGUGAUGUGCUGGGCUAUGUUCACUAUCUUCUGCAGCUUCUUCCAGUCUUGGACAGGACAACUUCCAUACCAGGUUGUGAUGCACCCUAGAAGAAUGGUUUCUACACUGCAUCUAUAAAAAUUAGUGAGGGUUUUAGGGGAUAGGCCAAAUCUCUUUUGUUGGGGUAACCUAUUGCAUCCAGUGCUCCCGGUGCGGCCUCCUCUACAUCGGCAAGACCUGACGCAGAUUGGGGGACCGCUUCAUCGAGCACCUCUGCUCCGUCCGCCACAACAGACAGGAUCUCCCAGUUGCCACUCACUUCAACUCUCCCUCUCAUUCCCAUUCAGAUAUGUCCAUACAUGGCCUCCUCUACUGCCAUUUUGAGGCCAAACUUCGGUUGGAGGAACAACAUCUCAUUUACCAUCUGGGUAGUCUCCAGCCCCUUGAUAUGAACAUCGAAUUCUCCAACUUCCGGUAAUUCCCUCCCUCUCCCUUCCCCAUCCAACCUCUACUCUGUCUCCUCUUCUAGCUGCCUAUCACCUCUCAUGACUCUGCCUUCUUGUACUACCCAUAGUGCUUUCCCUCUUCACCUCUCCUGCCUAUCACCUCCCUGCUUCCCCUCCCCCACCCCUUGAUCUUUCCUCUGAUUGGUUUUACACCCUCUCCCCACCUUCUUUAUAGGGCCCCUGCCCCCUUUCUUUAGUCCUGAUGAAGGGUUUCGACCCAAAACGUUGACUGCUUCUUUCAACAGAUGCUGCCCAACCUGCUGAGUUCAUCCAGCUUUUUUGUACGUCCAAAUCUCUUCAGCUUUCUCAGGAAGUAAAGGCCUUCUUGGCAGUGGAUUCUGCUUGGUUAGACCAAGUCAGGUCAUUUGUGAUAUCCACCACAAGGAACUUAAAGCUUUUGACCUGUUCCACCUGUGCACCACCAAUGUAGAUGGGGUUGUGCGGUCCGCUACUCCUUCUGAAGUCAACAACCAAUUCCUAAUUGUUUAGGUUCCAAUGAAUAUCUGUGGCGCACCAUGAUCAUUUCCCAAUGUCCCCCAACCUAAUGCAAGAUUUGGUUGCAUACUUUCCCCAUAUUAACUAUAAUAGCUAUUUCAGACUUAAUAAAUGCAUGUUUUGCUAUAACAUCUGCACUUUCUUUACCCAAUGCACCCACAUGUGCAGGUAACUCACAAAACUAUAGUACUAUUUGCGCACUCUCCAGAACAUAGAUAAUACACUUCCAUCAACAGAUCAGGUUUCCUUCAACACUUCGGUUCCAAAUUCUGCAGUAAUGAGGCAGAGUCUGUUUCUAUUUGGCUUAACUUGUUCAACCCAUUUUAGACUAAUGAUAAUGCCCACAAAUUCUGCUGUAUAGGCAGACAGUCCAUCUGUCAGCCUUUUCCCCUCCUCAGCGUUAAACCAGAGGAUAAAUAUCUUGGAGCCCAACCAGUUACUAACUGGAUUCUUAGAGCCAUCUAUAAAGAUAGGUAAAAAGGAAAUACAAUACUGUGGUAACUGACUAGACAUCCUCUCACCUCCCACAGGACCCAGUCUAUCCUCCAGUAGCAUCAAAUCUAUUUCCACAGUGGAACUCCUGGCCAGGUCACAGUUGGGAUAAUCCUGAAAUACUCAAGUCCGUACUGUGGCAUGUAUUCCCUAAUUAUCUACCCAAAACAUUUACCAAGUCUGCUAGUAUUUUCCCCACAAUCUAUUAAAACAGAAUACAUCAAAAUGGGACACCCCCUCCCCAACUUAGGAUGUAAGGCUCAAAUUUUCUCUCCAUGGGUCAAGAGACACCCCACCUAGUUAAUCCUGCAGUACAUCUCUAGCUGCCAUCUGGAAUGCUGCUGUACAGAUUCUAAGUGCGCUGGUCCGUAGAACAUACAAUCUAUAGAAAACAGAAUGAGCUGCCUCCCUAUAAAUCACAACCAUAAUACAAACAAGAGCAUAUUAAAGUGCGAUGAAUGGUCAAUAAAACACCCUUAGAAGCCAGCCACACAGAGCAUGAUGUUAAUGACCUGUGUACAUUUAUCAUCAAGAAAACUUCAUAUGUGUUCUCUAAGUCAUCUCGCAUCCAGGCAUAGCCACAAAUAUUUAAACACUGGAACCCUAGACAGCAAGCACCCAUACAGAGUAAGGUGAAUAUAAUCCACACUAUGCUUUUGAGAAAAAAACAUAUAUUUUGACUUUGAAACAAAAUUUUAAACCUGUCCAAAGACCAUUCUUCCACUGCUGAUAAUGUUAUUUGCACAAAACCUUACCACAUAGGCAAUAUUAUGACCCCUUUUCCACAGAGUCCAAACAUCAGCAUAUAAAGCUAAAUCAAAGCCAGGCGCAACACCAAAAAUAUCAUUAAUCAUCAGAUUAAACAAUAUUGGACUAAUCACACUCCAAGGGCGUCCAAUUCCAAAACAGGAAAAAUCUGCAAAAGAACAAAAAAUCAAAUUGUCUACUAUUCCUGGUCAGACUGGUCUCCUGCUUCUCCCAUUUGCCAGAAUUCUGCACUGUGGCAAUAUAUUUAAAUGUCAAGUCUUUCUCCGACUGGCCUUCUGCCAUGUCCCGGGUGGUACUGCCACUUCAGGAGAUGUUUUCACCUCAUCUCCAAUAUUGUGUUCUCUGCUCUGCCAGGGAUUAUUUACAUUUGGUGGAGUGGUGCAGGACUUGGAGACAAUAUUCUGCCCUAUCUUCAUUCAGAGAGCUCCAUUCUGCCUCAUAAUGAAUUGGUCCUUGCAGCAGAUUGAGAAAGGUUUCAGAGCACAACACCGUAGCAUAGUAGUUAGUCUUAUAUCAUUGCAGUCCCAGCAACCCGAGUUCAGUUCCACCACUGUCUGUAAGGAGUUUGCAUGUUUCCCUGUGACAGCAUGGGUUUCCUUCCACGUAUGAAAGAUGGACAGCUUCGUACGUUAAGUGGUCACAUGGAUAGCAAAGGUUCUUUGAGCAGGAAGAGCCUGUUAUCGUGCUGUAUUUAAAUAAAAAAAAAACAUUCUGGAUUCUCCCAAAUGCCAUCAGCAACAUUAACCAACUUACGAAUAUCAUUGUCUUGGUUUGUCAUACUGAGAAGUGAUGUUACUGUGUCCAAGUGCAAGAACCAGAGAUGUUGCUGCUAUUUACUGGGUGGACAUCAGUUUCAUCAUAGCAACAAUAGGGGGAAAACUGGAAAAUCAAAAAGCAGCGCGACAACUUGGUGAAGGUUGCACCAAUGGAUCAACAUUGUCACUCCUUCCAGUCAUGAAGUCAAGCAUCUAAGGUGUUCCUAAAUGUGGAACUGCCAGUGUCCUCGGUCUGAUUGAAAUUGGUUUGCGAAGUCCGUCGAUCAGCAAGUUAUAGCCUGGUCUGCUACAGCCUCAAUCCGCCUCUGGUGUAGGACGUAGGCAGUGUUGUUACAUUAUUUUUUUUCCCUGGGCAUACAACACAAUGAAAGAGUCAUUAGGGUUAACAUCAACUAUAAGAAGCCAGUCAUUGUAAUGGGUAAAUCUACAGCUGGAUUCUACUGUGUCCAUUCCUCCUCCCGACAAGUCCAGAGGGCUCCGUGUUGAUGACACAAGUGAGCUCUCACUGCUUUGUGUUUCCCAUCAAUUAUUACUGUGUGGUUUGGAGCAUUGAGAGGGGAUCUGAUUGAAACACAUAAGAUUAUUAAGGGAUUGGACGAGAUAGAGGCAGGAAAUACAUUCCAGAUGCUGGGAGAGUCCAGUACCAGAGGGCAAGGUUUGAGAAUAAGGGGUAGGUCAUUUAGGACAGAGUUAAGGAAAGACUUCUUCUCCCAGAGAGUUGUGUGGGCCUGCCUCGGAAGGUAGUGGAGGCCAGUUCUCUGGAUGCUUUCAAGAAGGAGCUAGAUAGUUAUCUUAUGGAUAGGGGAAUCAAGGGAUAUGGGGACAAGGCAGGAACCGGGUAUUGAUAGUAGAUGAUCAGCCAUGAUCUCAAAAUGGCGGUGCAGGCUUGAAGGGCCGAGUGGUCUACUUCUGCACCUAUUGUCUAUCAUGCACUGCAGUCCAUGUCAAUGCUUUUAUUGCCUGAUAUUGUGAACUUGGUGUAGAAGAUUGUUAUCUUCUUUCAAAGCUGUUGAGGGAUUUGCAGUAUUAUUCCAAUGAUGUAUUCCCCUUAGGAACCAUGAGAAACUUGGGGUUCGAUGCCCAUUUAACCAUAACAAAGUACCAUGCACAUAGGAAAGUCGCCAUGCAGAAAACACAGAGCACACAUGUUCCUUUUUUGUUUGGAGGAUGUGUUGGCUAGCUGGUCAUUUCCUCAUAAGCUAUCAGAAACCAUACCUCCUUAGAGAGUACAUGUGUUGUCUUUUCUCCUGUCCUGCUCAUCUCACAAUAUCUCUUACCCUGCGCUAUCACUUGCCUAACUUUACCUGAGAGUCUUGAUAUGCUCAGUUAAUCCUUCAAUGUUGAUAUUCCUGCUGUGUAUCCAACUGAAUCCUGACCAGGAAUGUUUAAUACUGUAUCAUCUUUGUGCUCUAGAAUAGAUAGGGUCUGACCUGGUCUAAUUUGCCCAGUUCUGGAGCAUUCCAUUUUGUACACCUGAAUCUGUGAGCAGUGUCUUCAUCUUACAUUGGUUUUAGAUUGGUAGUUUCCUGUUUGACAUUUUUCUCACCUCACUUAACUAAAUAUUCUUUCUCCUGCUGUUCCAAUUGCAACCCUGACUCAGCUCAGUAACUGGGUCUCCUGGCAAUUACAUACUGCAACCUAUCGUUAACUCAAGUGGCAUCAAUCCAGUUUUAUCUCUCAGCAUUGCCCUUAAACACAUCGAUAUCAACAAUAAUAAAAUCCAAAUCCACUCUCCCUACCAGUUUCUUGUAUGACUUGCCAGAUCCCCUGCUAGGGUAUGGUUUGCGCUCCACCAACCGCAUGGAAUUCGAUCUCCGUCUACUGUGCAGCUGCAUUAAACUCUGGGUCCAUUGGUGUAAAGGGGUGUAUUGAAUGAGAUUGCAGCAAAGUAAAAGUUAAUAUGCUUUUAUUAUUAAAAAUACCAUUUCCUUUUAAUAACAAAAGAUACUACAAAAAUUUUUACAUCAAAAAUGUGUAUGCAGCCACAGUUUCUCCAUUACCCAGUUGCUUGGACUUCUGUGUGCUCUGUUUGAAGUGAAGCCAGUUCUCCAGGUGUCGAACCCAUAUGCAGCACAUUCCAAAUAGAGACUUCUGUUGACCAUUCCUUCCCUGAUUGGUUUUUGUUUCAGCACAAGUGGGCAAAAAAUGUCUCUUUUCCGUAUUAGACGUUAUGGGACCAAAGACUCAGUCAGUGAAGAGGAGCUGUGGGAAGAACUGUCCCCAAAACCACUUUUCUCACUGUCAGAUGGUGGAUCCCUCAAACUAGUGUCACUGACAGUUACUGCUGACGUACUGAACCCUGUUACUUCCCUCCAGCUUUCAUUUUUCUCCCAGCUGAACAUGGUUCCCAGAGGAUAGGAGUCUGUGAUAUUGAUGAGUCUUUUUCAGAACAGCUCCCAAGAUGUUCUCGCCCUCUACCAGUUCUUUGGCUGGUACGGCAUUGUUAUUUCAUCUGCAGCUUCAUUUUCUUCAUUCUCUGAAGGAUGAAUUGCCGUUGGAGGAGCUCAGAGGAUUGCUCACGGUGGCCAUUUGCUGCGCUGGUUUUCUCAGCAGCUUGACAGCGGUUUCUCAGGCGCCAGAUUCCCGCACGAGUUGUCAUGAAUGUGAACCAAGGUCUUCUUCCUGACAUAUUGAGAGAGGAUCUGAACUUGAAUUACUGCCCCCAGCACCUUCGUGAAUGGAAACCAACUUCAGAAUAUCAUUGCCCUGGUUGAUAAUACUCUGAACUGGUACUACUGU
Molecule: RNA transcript, 13177 nt
Organism: Hypanus sabinus (Atlantic stingray)
Lineage: Eukaryota; Metazoa; Chordata; Chondrichthyes; Myliobatiformes; Dasyatidae
Gene name: KH domain-containing, RNA-binding, signal transduction-associated protein 1-like
Exons: 12
Source: RefSeq, a predicted model, not a curated record